This 432-nucleotide long non-coding RNA is filed under the name Homo sapiens (human). Its description in RNAcentral is "HSALNT0266723". The record is from RNAcentral. Lineage: Eukaryota; Metazoa; Chordata; Mammalia; Primates; Hominidae.
UCGAAGGACUCGCGGCCUUUCCCGCGCUGGCCCUGCCCCUGGGCGCCCCAGCGCCUGCCAAGUGGAGGUCCUGGCCCUGGGGCCGACUCUCUAGAAGCGGCCAGUGGGUUCGGCGAACCGCGCCCCGCACAGCAGCAGAGUCCCCGCUACGGGGUCGGCAUUUUCUCAUCCUCUUGCUCAGGCGGGCAUGAUUAGGGGGCUGGGAAGGACUCACAGAAGGCGACGCAGCAAGAAGUGACAGAGACCCAGACCCUCCGGAGCCCCAGCUGCUCACCUGACCCUGCACCGCCCCCCAGGAAGAAUCAAACGUCUCUAGGCAGAAAGGGCGGCCGUAUCCAGAAGAGAGAACAGCCAUGCAGUGAUGUGCUUAGGGAAAUCUGGCGCAACAAUGUCAAGGCGAGCACUCACCUUGUGCCCAGCCCUGUAAUAAAA